RNAcentral lists this long non-coding RNA (1254 nucleotides) under Ananas comosus (pineapple). RNAcentral describes it as "long non-coding RNA (ACOM_LNC021850)". Lineage: Eukaryota; Viridiplantae; Streptophyta; Magnoliopsida; Poales; Bromeliaceae. The record is from RNAcentral.
CUACCCCCUCUCUCUCUCUCUAUAUAUAUAUAUAUAGUGGGGUUACUAUACUCUUAUAAGUAUUUAGACAUUCGUACUCAUAAGUUGUAUUCGAUGAUGGAGCUUCUGAAUUAACAAUCCACUCCGUUAAAUAUAAUCUAAAGUAUUUAAAAUUUUUUAAAAAUAAAUUUCGUAAUUUUUCGAAAUCAUAAUAAAGUCCAUCAAACAGGCAUGAAAUGAAUGGUCAAAAUCGAAUGAUGUCUUAAAAUUAAAUGAUCGGAUCCUUCAAUUUAAGAUCGGAGUUAUUGAUCUUUAUCUAGGAAGUGAAUAGAAUUUUUUAUCAAAAAUUCAAUCUUUUUCAAUUCUUUUACACCGUUAAACUAGCAAGUAUCUGAUACCGGCCGUUAAAAAUUGUCAAUUUUGUGAGUUUUUGAUAGGAAGAUAAAUUAUGUCGAAAAAUUAGAAAAUUUGAUUUCUAGAAAUUUUAAAUGCUCUAGAUAACGUUUAACGGUGUGGAUCGUCGAUUCGGAAGCUCUAUCAUUGAAAACAACCUAUGAGUACAAAGACGAUCGUACUCAUAAGAGUAUAAUAGCCGGACUCUACAUAUAUAUAUAUAUAUAUAUAUAUAUAUAUAUAUAUAUAUAUAUAUAUAGAGUUGAGUUGGAACGCUAUCAGUAGCAAACUGAUUUCAUUAUCAUCCAUUUAUUUUCGAUAAUGGAGCAUCUAAAUCGACGAUCGACACCGUUAAAUAUGAUCUAUACCACAGAGCACCAUCCUGUAUCGAUAAAUUCAUGUUAAUGUACUGAUGAGUAAAAUAAAGUAUGUGUCAAGAUACCGUCCUGCUAUUCUGAUGACACACUAACAUAUUAUGUGCUACAAAGUUGUCGUAGCCCUAGUUAGUUAAUUCACAAAUUAUUCGUGAAUUAUUCGCGAAUUAUUGAAAAUUCGAAUUAAACUGUCCGUUUACGAAUUUUUUUCAAAGAAAGAGAAUUAUUCGCGAAUUUUUGGAUCAGCCGAAUUAUUCGUGAAUUAUUCGCGAAUUAUUCCCGAAUUAUUAAAAAUAUGAAUAAAAAACUUAUAGUUUUUAUUUUUAAAUAUAAAUUAUCUUAUAUUUUAUAUCAUAUAUUUUAUAUUUUAUACCGAAUCCGUUUUCUAAGUCGAAUUUUUCAACGAAUUUAAAAAUUAGAAAAUAAAUUUUAUGCAUAUUAUAUCUGUAUCAAUUUUUUGUCGAAUCCGAAUUAACUAACUAUGGUGGUAGGUUGUAAUAAUUAGGAU